UACGAAGGGGGCUAGCGUUGCUCGGAAUUACUGGGCGUAAAGGGCGCGUAGGCGGACAGUUUAGUCAGAGGUGAAAGCCCAGGGCUCAACCUUGGAAUUGCCUUUGAUACUGGCUGUCUUGAGUUCGGGAGAGGUGAGUGGAAUGCCGAGUGUAGAGGUGAAAUUCGUAGAUAUUCGGCGGAACCCCAGUGGCGAAGGCGACUCACUGGCCCGAUACUGGCGCUGAGGCGCGAAAGCGUGGGGAGCAAACGGG
RNAcentral lists this ribosomal RNA (253 nucleotides) under uncultured bacterium. RNAcentral's name for it is "partial 16S ribosomal RNA". It matches the Rfam family "Bacterial small subunit ribosomal RNA", at positions 524 to 776 of the family's 1533-position model. The record is from RNAcentral.